RNAcentral lists this ribosomal RNA (468 nucleotides) under uncultured bacterium. Its description in RNAcentral is "partial 16S ribosomal RNA". It matches the Rfam family "Bacterial small subunit ribosomal RNA", at positions 28 to 507 of the family's 1533-position model. The record is from RNAcentral.
GACGAACGCUGGCGGCGUGCUUAACACAUGCAAGUCGAACGGAAAGGCCCUGCUUUUGUGGGGUGCUCGAGUGGCGAACGGGUGAGUAACACGUGAGUAACCUGCCCUUGACUUUGGGAUAACUUCAGGAAACUGGGGCUAAUAUCGGAUAGGAGCUCCUGCUGCAUGGUGGGGGUUGGAAAGUUUCGGCGGUUGGGGCUGGACUCGCGGCUUAUCAGCUUGUUGGUGGGGUAGUGGCUUACCAAGGCUUUGACGGGUAGCCGGCCUGAGAGGGUGACCGGCCACAUGGGGACUGAGAUACGGCCCAGACUCCUACGGGAGGCAGCAGUGGGGAAUAUUGCACAAUGGGCGGAAGCCUGAUGCGGCAACGCCGCGUGCGGGAUGACGGCCUUCGGGCUGUAAACCGCUUUCGCCUGUGACGAAGCGUGAGUGACGGUAAUGGGUAAAGAAGCACCGGCUAACUACGUG